CGUAGGGGGCAAGCGUUGUCCGGAAUUAUUGGGCGUAGAGCGCGUGUAGGCGGCCAGAUAAGUCCGCUGUGAAAUCUCGAGGCUCAACUUCGAGCUGUCGGUGGAAACUGUCUGGCUAGAGUCCGGAAGAGGAGAAUGGAAUUCCUGGUGUAGCGGUGAAAUGCGCAGAUAUCAGGAAGAACACCCGUGGCGAAGGCGGUUCUCUGGGACGGUACUGACGCUGAGACGCGAAAGCGUGGGGAGCGAACAGGAUUAGAUACCCUGGUAGUCCACGCCGUAAACGAUGGGAACUAGGUGUGGGCGGUGUCGACUCCGUCCGUGCCGAAGCUAACGCAUUAAGUUCCCCGCCUGGGGAGUACGGCCGCAAGGCUA
Molecule: ribosomal RNA, 372 nt
Filed under: uncultured organism
Description: bacterial SSU rRNA
Rfam family: Bacterial small subunit ribosomal RNA
Source: RNAcentral